GUCUCUCUUAACUCACUGUCAACUAAGGCUUGCUGUUCCCUGCCAAGCAGUGUGUAAGGGGUGAAGGGAUGGCAGGAAGUCAAGAACUUUGUAGAUCCAGCUGUGGUUCCCACCGGGCCAUGAAGGUCUUGUUCUGGAAGGGAGUCCUGUUGCCAGUUGUCCUUUAUACUCUACAGUCUUUCCUAUUUCAGAUCGCUUUGUAGUUUGUGAUGGACAUGUCCUGCACUAGUCAACAGGAUGCUACAAAGAAGAUUCUACUGUAUUUCCUCAUAAUUUGGUUGUGAGCCAAGCUUUAAAUGGUUGAGCCAUCUCUUCAUCCCUGCUAUAUUUUCUUUAUGUCAGAUCAAUGCCUCUUUUUACAAUUUUAAAAAUUUAACUAAUUUUUAAAAAAUAAAUUAUUUUAUGUGUU
This 409-nucleotide long non-coding RNA is filed under the name Rattus norvegicus (Norway rat). RNAcentral's name for it is "long non-coding RNA NONRATT020105". The record is from RNAcentral. Lineage: Eukaryota; Metazoa; Chordata; Mammalia; Rodentia; Muridae.